Molecule: ribosomal RNA, 539 nt
Filed under: uncultured bacterium
Lineage: Bacteria
Description: partial 16S ribosomal RNA
Rfam family: Bacterial small subunit ribosomal RNA
Source: RNAcentral
UGGGGAAUUUUGGACAAUGGCGAAAGCCUGAUCCAGCAAUGCCGCGUGUGUGAAGAAGGCCUUCGGGUUGUAAAGCACUUUUGUCCGGAAAGAAAUCCUUGGCUCUAAUACAGUCGGGGGAUGACGGUACCGGAAGAAUAAGCACCGGCUAACUACGUGCCAGCAGCCGCGGUAAUACGUAGGGUGCAAGCGUUAAUCGGAAUUACUGGGCGUAAAGCGUGCGCAGGCGGUUUGCUAAGACCGAUGUGAAAUCCCCGGGCUAACCUGGGAACUGCAUUGGUGACUGGCAGGCUAGAGUAUGGCAGAGGGGGGUAGAAUUCCACGUGUAGCAGUGAAAUGCGUAGAGAUGUGGAGGAGUACGAUGGCGAAGGCAGCCCCCUGGGCCAAAUACUGACGCUCAUGCACGAAAGCGUGGGGAGCAAAACAGGAUUAGAUACCCUGGUAGUCCACGCCCUAAAACGAUGUCAACUAGUUGUUGGGGAUUCAUUUCCUUAGUAACGUAGCUAACGCGUGAAGUUGACCGCCUGGGGAUACGGUCG